GUAGAGCACUGUUUGGACUAGGGGCCCUUCUCGGGUUACCGAAUUCAGAUAAACUCCGAAUGCCAUGUACUUAUACUCGGGAGUCAGACUGCGAGUGAUAAGAUCCGUAGUCGAAAGGGAAACAGCCCAGACCACCAGUUAAGGUCCCCAAAUAUAUGUUAAGUGGAAAAGGAUGUGGGGUUGCUUAGACAACCAGGAUGUUGGCUUAGAAGCAGCCACCAUUGAAAGAGUGCGUAAUAGCUCACUGGUCGAGUGACCCCGCGCCGAAAAUGUACCGGGGCUAAACAUAUUACCGAAACUGUGGAUGAACCUCUUUAGAGGUUCGUGGUAGGAGAGCGUUCUAAGGGCGGUGAAGUCAGACCGGAAGGACUGGUGGAGCGCUUAGAAGUGAGAAUGCCGGUAUGAGUAGCGAAAGAAGGGUGAGAAUCCCUUCCACCGAAUAUCUAAGGUUUCCUGAGGAAGGCUCGUCCGCUCAGGGUUAGUCGGGACCUAAGCCGAGGCCGAUAGGCGUAGGCGAUGGACAACAGGUAGAGAUUCCUGUACCAGUGCUAAUUGUUUAACCGAUGGGGUGACACAGAAGGAUAGGGAAUCGCACGAAUGGAAAUGUGCG
RNAcentral lists this ribosomal RNA (610 nucleotides) under Escherichia coli. RNAcentral's name for it is "partial 23S ribosomal RNA". It matches the Rfam family "Bacterial large subunit ribosomal RNA", at positions 902 to 1510 of the family's 2925-position model. The record is from RNAcentral. Lineage: Bacteria; Pseudomonadati; Pseudomonadota; Gammaproteobacteria; Enterobacterales; Enterobacteriaceae.